AGAUUGAACGCUGGCGGCAGGCCUAACACAUGCAAGUCGAGCGGCAGCACGGGUACUUGUACCUGGUGGCGAGCGGCGGACGGGUGAGUAAUGCCUAGGAAUCUGCCUGAUAGUGGGGGAUAACGCUCGGAAACGGACGCUAAUACCGCAUACGUCCUACGGGGGAAAGCCGGGGACCAGCAAUGGCCUGGCGCUGAUAGAUGAGCCGAUGUCGGAUUAGCUAGUUGGUGAGGUAAUGGCUCGACCAAGGCGACGAUCCGUAGCUGGUCU
RNAcentral lists this ribosomal RNA (270 nucleotides) under uncultured soil bacterium. RNAcentral's name for it is "partial 16S ribosomal RNA". It matches the Rfam family "Bacterial small subunit ribosomal RNA", at positions 26 to 293 of the family's 1533-position model. The record is from RNAcentral.